AAAAAAUAUUAUCCAAGAAAGUGACAGAGCUCAAAUUCAGCAUUUAAUCCUUUAGGUUGUAGCGUGUCCAGCUUAUAUAUCCAUUGCAUUUCAGUAAUCCCCAACUGUUUAUUUGGAUCUCCACCUCUCCAAUUCUUAUUAACUUUACAUACCCCUUUGAAAUUCAGGAGGCUCAUAUCCGAGUUGUGUUGCUGUUUAAAGUGAGCGGAAACCGAAUGCUG
Molecule: non-coding RNA, 221 nt
Organism: Pelobates cultripes (western spadefoot toad)
Lineage: Eukaryota; Metazoa; Chordata; Amphibia; Anura; Pelobatidae
Source: the annotation of a GenBank genome assembly